Long non-coding RNA from Gasterosteus aculeatus aculeatus (three-spined stickleback), 3243 nucleotides. Lineage: Eukaryota; Metazoa; Chordata; Actinopteri; Perciformes; Gasterosteidae. The record is from Ensembl.
UGGUCGUGGCGGACUUCCUCUCCCGCCCUCUCGAGGGCGAGGGGGGGGAGUAGGUUCGGCCGGAUGGCUCCCCGGCCUAAGUCGGGCGGUGGGGGUAUGUGGUGGCGGGCGUGGUUUGGCUCGGCUGCAGGGGGGGACUGAGAAGGGAGUGGUUCAGGGAACGGUGCCGGGGGAGGCAAUUGGCCUCAGCUGAUGUUAAUCAGGACUCUGCUGUUAAGUAGGGGAGAGCCGGCGACAGCGAGAGAGCGGGGCGAGGAGGCUGGAGCCGGUGUUGUGUGUGUGUGGAAAUACAAAUAAAACCGUUUACAAUGGACCUGACUGCCUCGUGCCCGUCAUUUCAAGACCCCCCCAGAGGACCGACAUGUUACAGUUGCCAAAAUUUUUUACGUUACCAUUGGUCACAUUUUUUAGAGUGUAUGCACGCUGACCUGAAACACGACCCCGUGGUCACCAGAAUGAGCUGUUGAAGACAUAUUUAGUGAUCAACGAUGGUUUCUUUAAGUAGCCACCUACAGCCUUUACAAACAGCCCUGGAUUGUGUGGUGUGUCCAGCAUAAUCAAUAUUAUACAUAUUCAAAAUAUAAUAUAAAAAUACUCUCUAAAUAAUUCAAAAGGCAGCCACUGGCUCCAAUAUAUGCUGAUGUAUUGUAUCUGAUUUUACCAGGUAAAGCCAAGGCCCUGGUGUGCAUUUCCUGUGGGAAGAGAAUACCGAAGCAAAGCGCUUUCAUUAUUUGCAGUGAAUGAGCACAUUUAAUUGGAAUGAAUGGGAACGGUCCGGGAACACAGUGUCCAGUUCAUGAUAUAUCCAUGAGCUGCACAGAAGCUCAGUUUACACUCCAGCGCAACCAUAUUCAUUAUUAUCAUUCUAUGAAAAAAACAACUAUAGUUUCUACAUGCAGAUUAUUAUAACUGCACUCAUAUUGUAGUUUAUACAUUCACAGUGUGGAUCCACAGAAGUGACACACAUGACGUAAAUACAACUGAGAACAUGAAUCUGGGCCAAAUCUGAAUUGUUCUUUCUAUUAUUUUACUAGAUGCCAUCACUUUCAGUUACAUGAUGGAAAUUAGCCACUAUUUGGACAGUGUAUUAAAUAGAAGGAUUUGGGAUCUUAGAUAAUUGCACAUUAAGCUCGGUGACAGCAAACGUUUGCACUUUGUUCAGUAAGAUUUAUAUUUACGCAUGAAUGCAAUAGACCAAACUAAAAAGCCAGCUUAUAAUGGCUGUUGGCUUCUACAGUUUGUGCAUAACACAGCAGCAUUCUUCACAUUACUUUGUCAUACAUUUAUUUUUAUCAUUAGAGAAAAGCAACAUCCUCGAGCCUUUUUAUUGAUGCUAGCCGGAAGCUGGUUUCUCCCAGACAUGUUGUAAAGAUAUAUUAAUAAUUUCAGUAUAAAAAAGAACAAACCUUCUAUGUUUACCCUGCAUUGAAGUACGACAUCCCACAGAGAGCCAGAGCAUCACUCAAUGACACUCGUUAUCCGACUGUGACCUACCACUGCCUUUGCAGCUGAUACAUUUAAGAUGUCUCAACAGGAUGCGCAGGUGAACAUGACAAAGUGGUAAAGCAGAACCACUGGGUUAAAUAUUACAGACUAUUAUUGUUUUUGAUAAUAUAUAAAUUCAAUACUCAUCUUCUGGUUCAUUCACAUUUAACAGCAGGCUUUUAUGGCAGGUACUUAAGUUAUUCGUUCAUGAUUUGACAUGGACUAUUAGCAAGUUUUGGGGAAUCUAACAGCUACAGAAGAUCAAUGGCGCUUCCCCUAAUGACCAUCCCUAGUUUCGUAUUCGACCACAGACAAAAUGAAAGCUCCGACCAUUCAUUCUACGACCCAUUUCAAGACUUUGGUUUCCACCGAAGCAGCAGAAAUUGCUUCAUACAUAAUACAUCAGCUGUGUGUUAUUUAUUCAUUGUAACUGUUAGCAUCAUUACACAGUUUUAUGCAUUCCUCAGUCUCAAGUUUUUAUUUCUACGUCAUUUCUCAAUGACACAGGCUUCCUCGCAGCUAGAAGGUCCUGGAUUCGACUCCACCCAGCGGUCUUUCUGUGUAGAUUCUGCAUGUUCACCCUGUCGGCGUGGGUUCUCUCCGCGUACUUUGGCUUCCUCCCACAGUCGAAAGACGUCCUCUGGGGAUUUUCGACACACGACUCAAGCCCAAUCAUUCUCGCCCGAUGCUGCAGUCUACCCAGCCUCUGUAUAUGAAUAAUAUAUAAUAUUCUAAUAAAUGCUGUUUAAUUAAUUGAAAAUAUCUUAAUAAAAUGCUCUCACCGAAUGAGGAGGGGCCUGCAGUCUCUUUGAAAACUUUGCGUGUCUAAACUCGCUUUUAGACACGCAGGCUGGCUCUUUGAUCUAUGUCAUGUCUGCAUGCUCAUCAUCUUACAGUAAUAAAGAUGAGGAACAUGGCGAACAUCAAAACCUGCUAACUGCCGCCCCUGUUAGCAUGCUGCAUUAGCAUUUAGCUCUUGGCCUUAUCGUCUCUAUAGUGUUUUUUGUGAAUUAUUUCGAUAUUGUAAUUUUUAAAAACCUCAUUUAUUAAAAUAUUUCCAACACCAAAUGUGGAUAUCUAUAUGCAUUUCAACCAUGAUCAUUAUGAUGAUUUAGAAUGAAAGUCACUAAUUGAUCAUGUUUUACUCAUUUGCCUUCGGCCCCUGUCAGCUGUAAUGCAUGACCAUUAUUAGGAUAGGAUAAAAAUAAGAUGGUAGAAGGUAAUCUUCCUCUGCAGUCGUUGAAGUAAUUAACAAGAGACACCAUAGUGAGUUUGUCAUUGUAGCUGAUGCAAUUAAUAUGUGAUAGAAAUGUCUGAAUUGGGAGAGAUUUUGACACUGAGUAAUCCGUCCUGUACGCAACAACUUUUAUGAAUGGGAAGGACAAGUUGAGGCCUGACGAGUCACACAGUCAUUGAGUAAACCAACAACAAAAUGUUUUACAGCUCCACUGCCCAGCUCCUUGUGCUUUAAUCUCCUCCUAUUUCUGUGACUACAAGCAUACAAACCUUUUGUCUGUAACACUCAAAAAUCAGUCAGGUGACUCAUCCCUCCUGCUGCUGCGUCACUAAUUCAAACCCCUAGGUGUCAUACACAGCUGCUAAGGGUCUCCUUUCCAUGAUAUGGGAAAAGAUUUCCAUGGCUACUGCCUUUGUUUGGACUAAACCCUUCUCCCAGAGGGCUGUGCAUUGGAGAAAGGAGAGGCUAACUCCACAUCAUCAGUCACAGACACCACUUAAUCAUAUCCCCUCUCACACAGC